This 253-nucleotide ribosomal RNA is filed under the name uncultured bacterium. RNAcentral's name for it is "partial 16S ribosomal RNA". It matches the Rfam family "Bacterial small subunit ribosomal RNA", at positions 524 to 776 of the family's 1533-position model. The record is from RNAcentral.
UACGUAGGGUGCAAGCGUUGUCCGGAAUUAUUGGGCGUAAAGAGCUCGUAGGCGGUUUGUCGCGUCGGAUGUGAAAACCCGGGGCUUAACCCCGGGCCUGCAUUCGAUACGGGCUGACUAGAGUACGGCAGGGGAGACUGGAAUUCCUGGUGUAGCGGUGAAAUGCGCAGAUAUCAGGAGGAACACCGGUGGCGAAGGCGGCAUCCUGGACCGGCAUUGACGCUGAGGCGCGAAAGCCAGGGGAGCAAACGGG